Molecule: unclassified non-coding RNA, 779 nt
Filed under: Hevea brasiliensis (rubber tree)
Lineage: Eukaryota; Viridiplantae; Streptophyta; Magnoliopsida; Malpighiales; Euphorbiaceae
Source: RNAcentral
GUCAUCUUGCAUUAAAAGCUUGUAAGUGUAAGAGAAUUCAUCCGAGUCUAGAACAAAUAAAGAGAAAAACGAAGCCAACACUGUGAUGUUAGUAACUAGCCCAACAAAUCAAAUCAAACCCAAAGCCAACCAAAAAACCAUAACUCACAAGUUGACUCAUCCCCAACCUAUAGAACCUAGGUUUACAAAGAAAAUCACAAAAUAGAAAAGUAUGUUGCCUAUCAUCUACAGAGCUUGCCACUACCAGAAGUGCUAAGCAGAUAACAAAGCCAAUAAUUUUGCCAAUAAUAGCAACUAUCGUCGCCCAUCAUAGCACAACAACUCACCUAAUAGUGCAUACCUCCCAUCUUCCUCAACAAAAUAUAAAGCUCAGCUCUACAACAAGAAGGAGGUGUUGCCAGAGCUCUUUGAUCCUCAUAGGUCAUUUGAACGACCUUCCCAGCCGUGAUGUAGUAGUAAAUUCAAGAGAUGUGAAACAAUCGAAGCAAGAAGCCCUCUUAACGCACAGAACAAAUCCCUAGACUAAAGACCAAGCACUAAACAAUUCAAUUACAAAGGCCCCCCACCAUUUGACCUCAAGAUCUAUGGAACAAUAUAAAUACACUCAAAACUGUAAAAAAACCAUACAAGAAAGAGAAGAGAAAUCCUUCACCAUGUCGGAGCGAAACACUAUCCGGAAGGGCCAUCAAAGACAAUCCAUUGAAGUCCGAGAUAGAAAAAAAAAAAAUGAAUGGAGAGGAAAUUUUUCUCCAGAGAAACUAGAGGGAGCUCAAUUGGAG